RNAcentral lists this ribosomal RNA (237 nucleotides) under uncultured Bacillota bacterium. Its description in RNAcentral is "uncultured Firmicutes bacterium partial 16S ribosomal RNA". It matches the Rfam family "Bacterial small subunit ribosomal RNA", at positions 796 to 1041 of the family's 1533-position model. Lineage: Bacteria; Bacillati; Bacillota. The record is from RNAcentral.
CACGCCGUAAACGUUGAGAACUAAGUGUUGGGGAGACCCAGUGCUGAAGCUAACGCAUUAAGUUCUCCGCCUGAGGAGUACGCACGCAAGUGUAAAACUUAAAGGAAUUGACGGGGGCCCGCACAAGCGGUGGAGCAUGUGGUUUAAUUCGAAGCAACGCGAAGAACCUUACCAGGUCUUGACAUCCCUUGACAGCCUCAGAGAUGAGGUAUCUCUUCGGAGCAAGGAGACAGGUGG